GACAUAGGUGGCGAACGUUAUCCGGAAUUAUUGGGCGUAAAGGAUGCGUAGAUGGUUCAAUAAGUUACUGGUGGGAAAUCGAGGCUCAACCUCGUGGAAGUUGGUAAUACUGUUGAACUUGAGUGCAGGAGAGGUUAACGGAACUUUAUGUGGAGCGGUAAAAUGCGUAGAUAUAUGAAAGAACACCAAUAUAGCGAAGGCAGUUAACUAUUCUGCUACUGACAUUGAGGCAUGAAAGCGUGGGGAGCAAAACGG
RNAcentral lists this ribosomal RNA (255 nucleotides) under uncultured bacterium. Its description in RNAcentral is "partial 16S ribosomal RNA". It matches the Rfam family "Bacterial small subunit ribosomal RNA", at positions 524 to 776 of the family's 1533-position model. The record is from RNAcentral.